Molecule: long non-coding RNA, 1090 nt
Filed under: Helianthus annuus (common sunflower)
Lineage: Eukaryota; Viridiplantae; Streptophyta; Magnoliopsida; Asterales; Asteraceae
Description: hypothetical non coding rna
Source: RNAcentral
CCUCAGUCCGGCUUUAAAGCGGGUGUCGGUGGCCACCCGCAGACUCUCUAGUUGAGCCCUAAAGUUACAAAGUGGGUCCAUUCUCUUUUCUCACUAUUUUAUUCCCUUUUUCUUUAUGAUAUAAUUAUAUUCAAAAAUGUCCCAAAUCGAUCCAUAAGCAAAAACCCGGACCCCUGAAACCCCAAUCCAUAUCAAAAAUAAAGAAAUCAAGAUUUGUGGUCUUCUCGCGGGCCGCGUAAAUAAAAGGCGGGAGGUCACGCGGGCCGCGCCAGCUCGUGGGACUCCGGAUAUGCAUGACGGCCACGUGUCGUCACACGUGUCACAACCACCAAUGACUCAGCAACCUUUACCGCCACCUUUAUGGCCACGCGGGCCGCGUAAAGGUUAAAGGAGGGCUCACGCGGGCCGCGUGAGAACCAAUUUUCAGCUAUAAAUAGGACAGGCCACGAGCUUUCAGUUGAUGUCGAAACCAAAACUCGAAAAUAUAUCCCACUGCUCAAAAAUCACAAAUUAGCAUAACGGGGUGCUGCUACGAUACCGGGUAUUAACUCGAUCGCUGCUACGAUACAAUAUCCGAUCAAUUGAAACUAUCCGACAGGAUGUUUAAGCGCUAUCCUUUGUCAUUAGUCGUGAUUCUGACAGGAUGUUUGAGUACCUCCCGAACUCGGGGAAUACUCUGUCAUUCGUUGUGAAUCCGAUGGAUGUUUAAGUGAUUGCACUUUGUCAUUCGUUGUGAGGGUUUUAAUCUCGUGAGUUAUCGUAAAAGCUAUAUUAGUUAUUUACCUAGUUCGUGUGCACUAGGUUACAAGGUUAAUCAAUAGGCUAAGCUCUGCCUGCAUAAAUCUGCAAUAUAUCAAGGCUUAUCUGUAGACUAAACUUUGCCCGUAUGAAUCUGCAUGCUUAUAAUGUAGUUACAGUAGACUGGAGUAAGAAUUGGAUCCGGCACUGAAAGACUUCAAGAAGUGGUUUAUUUUAUUAAUUGAAUCAAAUUAAGAAAUCUUGUUUUAUAAAAUCAAAUUUAUUUAUAUUAAAGCUACCAUUGUAAAACAUGGUUUUAUCCCAUCUAUUUAAUAAACAAAAUUCGGUGUUU